Molecule: unclassified non-coding RNA, 406 nt
Filed under: soil metagenome
Description: partial contains 5.8S ribosomal RNA, internal transcribed spacer 2, and large subunit ribosomal RNA
Rfam family: 5.8S ribosomal RNA (bases 1-121)
Source: RNAcentral
GAUGAAGAACGUAGCGAAAUGCGAUAAGUAAUGUGAAUUGCAGAAUUCAGUGAAUCAUCGAAUCUUUGAACGCACCUUGCGCCCUUUGGCCAUUCCGAAGGGCAUGCCUGUUUGAGUAUCAUGAACACCUCAACUCUUCAUGGUUUUCCGUGAUGAGCUUGGACUUUGGGGGUCUUGCUGGCCUAUGGUCAGCUCCUCUAAAAUAAAUCAGCUUGCCAGUGUUUGGUGGGUAUCACAGGUGUGAUAACUAACUACGCUUGUGGUUUUCCACCAGGUAACCUUCAGCAGUGGAGGUUCGCUGGAGCUCACAGAUGUGUCUCUCCUCAGUGAGGACAGCUCUUUGAAUGUUUGAUCUCAAAUCAGGUAGGACUACCCGCUGAACUUAAGCAUAUCAAUAAGCGGAGGA